AGUUCCUACUCGGACUUUAACCAAAACUAAUGGCUUGAAAACCAUCGUUGUAAUUCAACUACGGGAAC
This 68-nucleotide transfer RNA is filed under the name Plectropomus leopardus (leopard coralgrouper). Its description in RNAcentral is "tRNA-Glu". Lineage: Eukaryota; Metazoa; Chordata; Actinopteri; Perciformes; Serranidae. The record is from RNAcentral.